Elaeis guineensis (African oil palm) is the source of this 2176-nucleotide non-coding RNA. The record is from RefSeq and is a predicted model, not a curated record. Lineage: Eukaryota; Viridiplantae; Streptophyta; Magnoliopsida; Arecales; Arecaceae.
GAAGCAAAAAUGUUCUAGUUGGCCAAGCUUUUCUCAAAGAGGCAAUGAAAAUCUAGCAGCAAUAACAAAAAUCAUUAGACAAAUCAUGAGCUAUCUGGUUUUGCUAAAUUGUAGUUCAGCUGGGGUGCUGAAAUGGGCAUUACAAAAAUAGCUAUCCUUUCCCCAUUGAGAUAACCCCCUGUCCUCACUCCCCAUCUCCCACCUCUCUCUCUCCUUGACCGAAGAUAAGAUCCGCUCGCCUCUCGCUCUCUCGGCCAUGGCUUCCGAUUUCUCCCAGCUAUAAUUUGACAUGGAUUAUAGCAGCAACGCCAUAGAGAUCAUUCCGGAGGCUACUGGCCCUGAACCAUGGGCUCAGGCAUCCAAUGAUCAGGCUAUAUGGGCGACCGAGGAUGACUACCGGAGUUGGAGUGGAGAACCCUCUGCUGAUAGUGCGUCGAAUCCGGCCUAUGGUGAUCGCCAGUCUCAGUCACAAUCCCGGGCUGGAAGCGAGCAGCCCCCGAGCAAGAAGCCCCGGAAUCCUUCAGAAGGAAAUGGGUCGAUGAGCAAGUCGAGGGCGAUCGGGAAAAUGUUCUUCAAGACCAAGCUCUGCUGCAAGUUCCGGGCUGGGACGUGCCCCUAUAUCACAAACUGUAAUUUUGCCCAUGGAAUGGAGGAGCUCCGGAAGCCUCCGCCCAAUUGGCAGGAGAUUGUGGCAGCACAGGAGGAGGGGGCGGAGCCGAGGGAGGAGCAUCAGAUACCUAUUCUGACUUCUUCUAGUUUGGGCGGGGACGGGCAGAGGUCUUAUAAAGGGAGGCACUGUAAGAAGUUUUACACUGAGGAGGGGUGCCCAUAUGGAGAGAUGUGUACGUUUCUGCAUGAUGAGCAGUCAAAGGCUCGGGAGAGUGUGGCGAUUAGUCUGUCACCUACAGUUGGAGGUGGUGCAUAUGGUGGUGGAUCUAAUGGGUCGAAUCAGAAGCCUUCAAAUUGGAAGACUAGGAUCUGUAACAAGUGGGAGAUGACUGGGUAUUGCCCGUUUGGUAGCAAGUGCCAUUUUGCUCAUGGGGCUGCAGAACUUCACAAAUAUGGUGGGGGGCUUGUGGAGACGGAAGGUAGGGAUGCUUCUUCAGCAGCUCCAGAUAUGAAGCAGGCUGGGGUAUCAACGAAGGCUCCUGCAGACACUGUUGUUGCACCUAUGACAUCAGUUCCUCAUGUAGAUGUUUAUCAUAUGGGAGUUCCUUCACAGAGGUCAACCAUUAUCAAUCAGAGGCAGGGGCUAAGUCAGGGUCAGAGGACUCUUCAGAAAUGGAAAGGGCCAGACAAGAUCAGUAGGAUAUAUGGUGACUGGAUCGAGGAAAAUGAGUAGACACAUAGUUGCUGAUAUAGCAGGACACCUGGAUGGAAAAAUAAUAAAGGUAGUUCAUCUCUACUAACUUCAUGUUAGCAUGCUGUUUAGCCUUUUUGUCAUCAUUGCAAUGAAACUGGUGGGUUGUGGAGCUGAAGCAAUAGAAGGGAAGUGCCACACAAGGUUUCAUUAGAAAGACAGUCACUAGUUCUUAUGAACUGAGCUUGUGUAGCUUGAUGGGAAGGCGUGUAUUGUUUUGUUUCACAGCCUUAUGAUUAUCUACGGUCAUUCCAUAUCAUGAGGGGAAGGUCAUUGAGUCUUUAUGGUGCUUGUAGUUUCACAGAAGCAGAACCAUAUUUUUACUGGAUCUUGUGCUUUGUUGACUUUGAUCGAUUAGGAGCUUACUGCUAUGUAAUAGCUAGUUGGUUAGUAUCAACAGCUGGUUCACUAUCAGGUUUCUUUGUCAGCAAGUGAAGGUGACCAAUUGAAGAAGGCUUUCCUACUUCAUGCUUAUGGAGUCUAUGGAAGGUCCGGAGCCUUUUUAAUGGAGAAGAUUGCUUGGAGCAUUAUUCUUUGGCUCUUCUGCUGCCCUUAAUGUUACGUCUCCUUCAGUAUCGGAUGGAUGGUUCCCUUUUCGAUUGUGCUCCAUUCUUUGUUUUUUUUCCCUCUGAUUCCGCUUUCCACAUUUCAUCAAUUAUGAUGGAUGGCCUUGUUGCGAAUUAUCAUUCUUUGCAGAAAAAUAUAUGCAAAUCAUGCCUCUGAAAAAUCGAAGAAAAAGGAUUAUCCAUUUGCUCAGUUGAGCAGUACAACAUUCUUAGGUAUCUAAGGAACAAUUUUGAAUCAUAUUUUUUGAAU